Molecule: long non-coding RNA, 899 nt
Filed under: Cricetulus griseus (Chinese hamster)
Lineage: Eukaryota; Metazoa; Chordata; Mammalia; Rodentia; Cricetidae
Description: lncRNA (ENSCGRG00015037060.1)
Source: RNAcentral
GAAGAGCAGUUGCCUUGGGCAGUUGCAUUUUUCACUGUGAAUUAUACACUGACAUUUUGGUUUUUAUAUUCCUCCUAAUGAACAUUUCAGUCUUGUAACAUCAUCUCUUUUGGUCCUGGAACACAAAAGCCAGACCCCAUGUAGAGGAAAUUCAAGGCAGAAAUGGAAACCAACCAGUUGGGGAGACUGUAGUGAGUGGAUCAACCAUUGAGAAGGACUCUAUCCAGAUGAACUCAGGAAACUAAAACAAGCUAGGCACCGAAAGGCCGCCCACUCCACAAGUGCUGAAUUUGUGCAAGUGAACAUCCUGUCCAGUCUCAUGGGACCAAUCAACCACGGACAGAGCCUCGGAAUCUACAAGCCCAAGCCAGCAAGUCUUUCUUCAUGUGGUUUACGUCAAGUCUUUGCCACAUCAGCACAAAGACUAAAGCAAUAGGUUCAGUCUACACCCUGGGGUAGUGGAUUGCACAUGGGUGUGACAGGGUGGGGUCAAUGAGAGCCAUGACUAGGGUUGCUUGGAUAUGGCUCUCCUUGUAUUUACGCUGCUUGGUGUUUGUUGAUUCAGCAAUUAAUGCUUUUCACAAAAUUUGGGAACAUUUGUUGCUAUAAAUUCCUCAUGUAUUUUUUUCUACUCCAUUUCUCCUCUUAACUUUUAUGCUUCUAGUUUCCUGUUUGCCUAUCCUUUUCAUAUUAUCCCUUAGCACCUAAGCCCUUAUUAACUUCUAAAAUAUAUUUCUACUUGUUCUUUGAGGAGUUCAUACAUGCAUACAAUGUAUUCUAUCAUAUUCACCCCUUUCCAGAACUCUACCUCCUGGGUCCACCUCCGCAUGCCCCUCUUCCAACUUUAUUCCUGUAAUUUUGGUUUGUUUCAGUAACCUAUUGAGUCCACUAGCACUGCC